RNAcentral lists this ribosomal RNA (256 nucleotides) under uncultured Rhizophagus. Its description in RNAcentral is "partial large subunit ribosomal RNA". It matches the Rfam family "Eukaryotic large subunit ribosomal RNA", at positions 359 to 566 of the family's 3401-position model. The record is from RNAcentral. Lineage: Eukaryota; Fungi; Glomeromycota; Glomeromycetes; Glomerales; Glomeraceae.
GAAAGAUGAAAAGAACUUUGAAAAGAGAGUUAAAUAGUACGUGAAAUUGUUGAAAGGGAAACGAUUGAAGCCAGUCGUACCUAUGGGUAAUCAGCCUUUUGGGUGUGAUUUUGUGGAGCGUGAGGAGUUAAACGCCUUCAUGCCUGUAUAUUCGUGCACUUUGGGUGUACUUGCCCGUAUGGUUGGUUAACAUCAAUUUUGGUGGUCAUAAAAUGACUGGAGGAAUGUAGCUUCGAUCUCGUAUUGAAGUGUUAUA